UUCUGGCAAUCUGCKCCUCAUAAAURUUUGAAUAAAUAUUUUAAGAGAGGMACUCAUAAAUUUUGAGAUAGUUGAGA
This 77-nucleotide transfer RNA is filed under the name Bartonella bacilliformis. Its description in RNAcentral is "tRNA-Ile". Lineage: Bacteria; Pseudomonadati; Pseudomonadota; Alphaproteobacteria; Hyphomicrobiales; Bartonellaceae. The record is from RNAcentral.